ACGGUUACCUUGUUACGACUUCACCCCAGUUACCGGCUCCACCUUCGGCAGCUCCUUCCUUUCGGUUAGGUCACUGACUUCGGGCAUUUCCGACUCCCAUGGUGUGACGGGCGGUGUGUACAAGACCCGGGAACGUAUUCACCGCGACAUUCUGAUUCGCGAUUACUAGCGAUUCCAGCUUCAUGUAGUCGAGUUGCAGACUACAAUCCGAACUGGGACGUUAUUUUUGGGAUUUGCUUGGCGUCACCGUCUCGCUUCCCUUUGUUUACGCCAUUGUAGCACGUGUGUAGCCCUGAUCAUAAGGGGCAUGAUGAUUUGACGUCAUCCCCGCCUUCCUCCCGGUUAUCCCGGGCAGUCUCUCCAGAGUGCCCAGCUCUACCUGCUGGCUACUGGAAAUAGGGGUUGCGCUCGUUGCGGGACUUAACCCAACAUCU
RNAcentral lists this ribosomal RNA (434 nucleotides) under uncultured bacterium. Its description in RNAcentral is "partial 16S ribosomal RNA". The record is from RNAcentral.